ACGCGCGGAACCUUACCAGGUCUUGACAUCCCGCUGACCGGUCUGGAGACAGAUCUUCCCCUUCGGGGGCAGCGGUGACAGGUGGUGCAUGGUUGUCGUCAGCUCGUGUCGUGAGAUGUUGGGUUAAGUCCCGCAACGAGCGCAACCCUUGAUCUUAGUUGCCAGCAUUAAGUUGGGCACUCUAAGGUGACUGCCGGUGACAAACCGGAGGAAGGUGGGGAUGACGUCAAAUCAUCAUGCCCCUUAUGACCUGGGCUACACACGUGCUACAAUGGAUGGUACAAAGGGCAGCAAAACCGCGAGGUCGAGCAAAUCCCAUAAAACCAUUCUCAGUUCGGAUUGUAGGCUGCAACUCGCCUACAUGAAGCUGGAAUCGCUAGUAAUCGCGGAUCAGCAUGCCGCGGUGAAUACGUUCCCGGGCCUUGCACACACCGCCCGU
Molecule: ribosomal RNA, 439 nt
Filed under: uncultured bacterium
Lineage: Bacteria
Description: bacterial SSU rRNA
Rfam family: Bacterial small subunit ribosomal RNA
Source: RNAcentral